Molecule: unclassified non-coding RNA, 1036 nt
Filed under: Hevea brasiliensis (rubber tree)
Lineage: Eukaryota; Viridiplantae; Streptophyta; Magnoliopsida; Malpighiales; Euphorbiaceae
Source: RNAcentral
AGUCAAGUCAACGAAAUCUAUCUUCCAGAGGGAAAAAAAUGGCAGUCAUUGCCUCAGGUAGAUAUGCAUAUCUAAGCAAAUUGUUGCCCUUCACUCUGCCUUCAUCUUCACAAGCUGAUAAGUUUCCUUCCCAUUGAAAGAACCAGCAAAACCCACCAACUGCCAUGGAAAGGGAUCACAUACACAAAAAGCUUUUUCCUCUGCUCCUGUUCAUUUCUCUUUUACCCUUUUCAUUAGCCUACAUUAAUACCCCAUUUAAGUACUUCAUCAACUGCGGAUCAGACUCCAACGUCAGUGUUAGUGGCCGGACUUUUGUUGGUGACAUCAAUUCCAACUCUUCUUUCACAUUAGGGAAUAGUGAGGCUAUCUAUAGCAGUAGCCCUUUACCAAACACUUCUUCUCUCUAUCUAACAGCCAGAGUUUUCAGACAGAAAUCUCAAUAUGAGCUCAAUGUCACUAAACAUGGAACUUACAUGGUUCGCCUUCAUUUCUUUGUUUUCGAAUCCCAAGGGAUUAAUCUAAACAAUGCUUUAUUUGAUGUUUCAACUUUGAAUUUUUCGCUGUUGUCAAAGUUCAGAGUCCAAAACAGUCUCCCUGUGAUCAAGGAAUUCUUUCUCACUAUCAAUGUAGGGAAGCUACGAAUACAGUUUUCACCUUCAUCUUUUGCUUUUGUUAACGCCAUAGAAGUCUUUCUUCUUCCACCAAACUUCAUCGUGGAUGAUGCCGCAGCUGUUCCUUCUGUAAAGAACGAAAAAGGAUCUUACCAUGGUUUACCAUCUGAGGCUUUACAAACAAUUUACAGGAUCAACGUUGGAGGUCUAGAGAUUAAGGAGUCCAGUGACUCCCUUUGGAGGAAUUGGCUGCAAGAUGAUGAUUAUGUAAUUUCCUCAACUUCUGCAAAAACUUGUGCCUUUUAUAAUGGUACGCUUGGAGAGGGUCCUGAACCCAUCAAUGAUAUUGCCCCAGAUCUUGUUUACAGAACUUGCAGGGAAGUGAAGGACAAUAGCGGCGAAGCAGAUUUGCUGAAUAUAACUUG